AUGGCGUCGACGAUCCGCCCGGGCAUGGAUGCGGCGGAGGCCAAGAGAAGCCCGGGCGAGGAGGGCGAGGGCUCCCGCACGGUGGCCCCGAAGAAGCUGACCGGGUGCCACGGCGUCCGCGUGGUGGUCGGCCCGCCGACGAGCCUACCGGCUGCGGUCGCCUGCGAGAAGACCGAGGACUGGGUCGCCGUCGUCAGCCGGAGGCGCGCGCCUCGCCCUACCUGCCCACCACCGUCGCGCCCCUCCCGCGCGGACGCCGCGGUCAGGACCAAGGCGGCGCCGCCGACGCUGGUGAAGGCCUCCUACGGCGACGAAAAUCUCUUCAACAUCCUCCGCAGUGGAGAGUGCGCCCGGGCGUGGGCGCCGUCCAGUAAGUCGGUCACCGGCGGGAAGAAUCCUAUCUUCAAGGCUUCCUUCGCUGAUGUGGUGAAGAACAAUGUCCACGGCGCGCGCAAGAUGCCGAUCACCGGUCGUGCGGGUGCGGCGGACGUGAAGACCCGCUCCACGGCGACGCCCCACGGCGAGGAGGACGCGCUCGAGAGGCCCAUCUCAGCGGCCGUGAACAUGGCCGUCAAGAAGCAGCUCCCCUUCUCUGCCAAUAUCAGGACGGUGGGGGCGCAGGCGCGGGGGCGCUCCAAGAGCCCCGUCACCGGCGCGAAGGAGACGGUGCGCAAGGCGUCCUUCGCGGACGUGGUGAAGAGGAAUAUCCACCUCGCGCACAAGACUCCGAUCACUGGUGACGAAGAUGGUGGUGCGGUGGGCGUAAUGAAUACCCACUCCACGACGAAGGCCUACGGCGAGAAGGACCUGAUCAGCGCCGGGGACGCCGCAUUCAAGGGGCAGGAGUUCGCGUCCGAGAAGGACCUGGUCACCGCCGGGGACGCCGCGUUCAAGGGGCACGAGUUCGCGUCCGCGGCCGACGACGCGGUCACCACCGGGGACGCGCCGCGGUCCAGGAGCAGGAGUUCGCGUCCGCGGCCGACGACGCGGUCACCACCGGGGACGCCGCGGUCCAGGAGCAGGAGUUCGCGUCCGCGGCCGACGACGCGGUCACCACCGGGGACGCCGCGGUCCAGGAGCAGGAGUUCGCGUCCGCGGCCGACGAAGCGCCCAAGAAGGAGCCCGUCUCAACGGGCGAGGAUGCAGCGCUCCAGGUGCCCGUCUCAGGGGUCGAGAACGCGGCAGUUGAGGGGCAAGGCCUCGUCUCCGCAAAGGACUUCCUGCUCAAAGAGCAAACGCCCCUCAGUGGCGAGCAGGCGGCGCUCGACUUGGACAAGGACUCGCCAAGAAUGGUGGACUACGCUGGCGAGCGGCGAGAUGUACCGCCAGGAGGUGAUGAUCCCGCCCGGCAGCUGCCUGGCGAUGGGGGUGGCAGUCCAGCCGCGCAGCAGCCAGGGCCUGGCCAUGCGGGCGGCGAUCCCAUGGGGCAGCAGCCAGGGCAUGGCGGUGGCGAUGGCGGCGGCGGCGGCGGCGGCGGCGGCGGGUUUGGUUUCCGUCCACGUCUGUAUCCUCUUCCAUUUACGAAGUGCGGCAUGGUGUGGCCAGGCGAUAACCGGUGCCAGGACUUCGCCACGCACUACUGCAGACUGUGCCUGCAAAUACGGUGUGGCAACUGCGUCUGCCCGUGUGGCCCGGGAGGCGACAUGGCCAAUUUCCCGCUGCCACAAAUCACAGGGGAUUUCACCCAGUUUCAGCUGCCAGUUCCGAUUGUGCUCCGCGAUCAUCCGUGGGUUUUCUCGGGUGCCCGCCGGCCAAGGUACAAUCAGGUUGUCUACUACUUCGCUCUCUUACAGCAUCUUGUCGAUGGCAGUGUGCACUUCCCUGUACAUGUCUACCGUAUGA
RNAcentral lists this ribosomal RNA (1842 nucleotides) under Triticum aestivum (bread wheat). RNAcentral's name for it is "partial small subunit ribosomal RNA". The record is from RNAcentral. Lineage: Eukaryota; Viridiplantae; Streptophyta; Magnoliopsida; Poales; Poaceae.